AUCCUCCCCUUUUUGCGGUUGCUAUAUUGAUUUCAGCCUGUCUUUUCAGUGUGUGUCCCUGUUGGAUGCUGUUUUGGAUCUGUUUACUGCCCUCCCUGCAGUUUAACAGCAGGUUAUUUGAAGGCUGCCUAUCCUGAGCGGUGAAUUGAUUCUCAGGA
Silurus meridionalis is the source of this 158-nucleotide long non-coding RNA. RefSeq lists it as uncharacterized. The record is from RefSeq and is a predicted model, not a curated record. Lineage: Eukaryota; Metazoa; Chordata; Actinopteri; Siluriformes; Siluridae. The transcript has 3 exons.